AGCCUGAUGCAGCGACGCCGCGUGAGGGAUGACGGCCUUCGGGUUGUAAACCUCUUUCAGUAGGGAAGAAGCGAAAGUGACGGUACCUGCAGAAGAAGCGCCGGCUAACUACGUGCCAGCAGCCGCGGUAAUACGUAGGGCGCAAGCGUUAUCCGGAAUUAUUGGGCGUAAAGAGCUCGUAGGCGGUUUGUCGCGUCUGCCGUGAAAGUCCGGGGCUCAACUCCGGAUCUGCGGUGGGUACGGGCAGACUAGAGUGAUGUAGGGGAGACUGGAAUUCCUGGUGUAGCGGUGAAAUGCGCAGAUAUCAGGAGGAACACCGAUGGCGAAGGCAGGUCUCUGGGCAUUAACUGACGCUGAGGAGCGAAAGCAUGGGGAGCGAACAGGAUUAGAUACCCUGGUAGUCCAUGCCGUAAACGUUGGGCACUAGGUGUGGGGGACAUUCCACGUUUUCCGCGCCGUAGCUAACGCAUUAAGUGCCCCGCCUGGGGAGUACGGCCGCAAGGCUAAAACUCAAAGGAAUUGACGGGGGCCCGCACAAGCGGCGGAGCAUGCGGAUUAAUUCGAUGCAACGCGAAGAACCUUACCAAGGCUUGACAUGGGCCGGACCGGGCUGGAAACAGUCCUUCCCCUUUGGGG
RNAcentral lists this ribosomal RNA (636 nucleotides) under Arthrobacter sp. So2Ps_1704. RNAcentral's name for it is "bacterial SSU rRNA". It matches the Rfam family "Bacterial small subunit ribosomal RNA", at positions 380 to 1025 of the family's 1533-position model. RNAcentral also lists the same sequence under 1 other name. The record is from RNAcentral. Lineage: Bacteria; Bacillati; Actinomycetota; Actinomycetes; Micrococcales; Micrococcaceae.